GAGUUUGAUCGUGGCUCAGAUUGAACGCUGGCGGCAUGCCUUACACAUGCAAGUCGAACGGCAGCAUGAUCUAGCUUGCUAGAUUGAUGGCGAGUGGCGAACGGGUGAGUAAUACAUCGGAACGUGCCCUGUAGUGGGGGAUAACUAGUCGAAAGAUUAGCUAAUACCGCAUACGACCUGAGGGUGAAAGUGGGGGACCGCAAGGCCUCAUGCUAUAGGAGCGGCCGAUGUCUGAUUAGCUAGUUGGUGGGGUAAAGGCCCACCAAGGCGACGAUCAGUAGCUGGUCUGAGAGGACGAUCAGCCACACUGGGACUGAGACACGGCCCAGGCUCCUACGGGAGGCAGCAGUGGGGAAUUUUGGACAAUGGGCGGAAGCCUGAUCCAGCAAUGCCGCGUGUGUGAAGAAGGCC
RNAcentral lists this ribosomal RNA (411 nucleotides) under uncultured microorganism. RNAcentral's name for it is "bacterial SSU rRNA". It matches the Rfam family "Bacterial small subunit ribosomal RNA", at positions 9 to 416 of the family's 1533-position model. The record is from RNAcentral.